Molecule: long non-coding RNA, 1220 nt
Filed under: Pan troglodytes (chimpanzee)
Lineage: Eukaryota; Metazoa; Chordata; Mammalia; Primates; Hominidae
Description: long non-coding RNA NONPTRT012970
Source: RNAcentral
UGGUGGAAGUCAGGAGGAUAAGACAGAUAUACAAAUAAUAUGGGACAGAGAUAGUUUGCAAAAAGUUCAUAAGAUCUGUAUCAGUCCAUAUGUCAUAAACUACAGAAAAAACAUGAAAGAAUGAGCAAACAGAAAAGCUAGAUAUGGCUAAACUUGAACAUUGUCAAUUGAACAUAUUUAACUCAGUGAAAUUAUGAGCUCCUUGUUUCCAGAAGUCCUGGAGCAAAAGGAGAUGAGAAGUGAACACUUGCCAGAGUUUGGACUGGAUAAACUUGAGGUCCACUCUAGCUCCAGUUUUAUAGACACAAUUUUUCUCAGGUCCUAUUCGUGGAGGUGGAUAAUUAGGCCCUAAGUCUUAGAAGAAAUGCCAAAAAAAAAAAUCAUGAUUAUGCCUGUGCUAUUAUAUAAUAAUUUCAAUGUACAUUUAGCACCCCAAAAUAAAUAAAUAGAUGGUUUCUACCCAAAAGACUUACAAAAUAAAUUCAAAGCUUUCAUGUUAUUCAAAAGGAAAGUGAAUGGUUUUUAACAUCUAAAAUGUUCAGUUAGGAAGACAUCUACCUUUUACCCAAACCUAUAUCCUCUCUAAAUGAAAUUAUUGCUGCCUUCAAGUAAAUUUCCCUAAUAAUUGGAAUCUAUGGUAUUGACUCAAAGGAUUUCAGGAGUUUCAUAAAUAAAGCAAUUUCUAAUUAUGAGAAGCAAAAAAUUUAUAAAAGAUUCAUGAUCAUACUAAUUUUUAAAAUUAGUAUAGCAUUACUACUUUUUAAUAACAAUGAAGGUAAAUAAAAUGACUUUUAAACCAUAUAUUAAACAAAUAGCACGUAAAAAAAACAAUGAAAUUACAAAAUCUGAAAACUAUUUUCUUCACUCUGACAAAAAAAACUAAUUAUAACCCAGCUAUCUAAUAGAAAAACAUUUUAGUAAUUCUUCUCUGAUAAUAAAAAUAAUACAUCAAACAAAAACAACCAAUAUUAAUAUAUUUUCUUUCAUUUUUCUAUGCAUGUAUAUGUGUGUAAUUGAGACAUAAAAACACAUAUAUUUUGGAUUAAAGUGAAAUUAUGUUGUUUUAUAUUUUGCUUUCUCCAUAUAAGAUUAUAAUGUAUGCCUUUUCCUAUUCAUUAUAAUUCUUCAAAAAUGGACAUUUUUGAUGCCUAUGUAACAUUGUUUCUUUUGGAAACAGCAUGUCAUAUUUAAGCAAGCUCUACUGUUAUUCAUUUAGAUUC